UAUAAAUAAAGACAGAAUAUGUAAAUAUGCAGAUUCACAAAUAAUGAAACCAACAAACCAAAACAUCCCUUCAAUUACGGUCCUGUGUUAACCCCGUUUUCUUCAUUCUUAUAUUUGUUUAAAAUUCGUUUUGGUUUAUCUUGUUACUUUCUUUUAUUUCUGCUUUUAGACUGUUCCAUAAUUUAACUCCGUCAGCUUGAGAAAACUAUUAGUUUCCUUCUUUUAUCAGGUAACUGCUGGUUUGUGUCUGCAAUAUCUGCACUGACCUUCCAAACAAAUCUGAUGGAACAAGUUGUACCAAUGGAUCAGUCCUUUGAGGAUUAUGCAGGAAUAUUUCACUUCCGGUUCUGGAGGUUUGGAAAGUGGGUAGAUGUUGUCAUUGAUGACAAUCUGCCAAC
Molecule: non-coding RNA, 398 nt
Organism: Neolamprologus brichardi
Lineage: Eukaryota; Metazoa; Chordata; Actinopteri; Cichliformes; Cichlidae
Source: RefSeq, a predicted model, not a curated record